UACUUCAUACAUUAUUCAUACAUUUCUAAUAGAAAAGUAUUCCUAAUGUGUCGAGAGACUUGAUAUUGUUGAAAUGAAAUUCUUAAUUAAAAGCUAUCUAAUUCACCUUAAUAUGUAAUUAGAACGAUAAGAAAUUAUCAUUAUUUCCUUCAAUUUUAUAAGAGAAUAAAUAAAUUCAGAGCAUCAUGAAAAAAUCUAUGUCGAGUUGUUUUAAAAAGAAAAUUUUAUAUAAUAGUGAUCCAAUUAAAAAUUAUUCAUUUACAAGUUUGACUGAUGUUUGAACUACAACACUAACGUACUCAAUUUGAAUGCGUAUAUACACGCUUCGUCUUUUGAACGACAACGCCACACAAAGGACUGAUAAAACUGAGGAAAUCAGAAAAAUAACUACUGUAACACUUGAUGCUGAAACUGAAAUUAGGAAAGUUAUUGGCGCACCCCCCAUACAAUGUUCUAAAGGGCAGCGCAAGGACCAAUAUGGGAAUUGUGUACCAAUCAUUUCUGCAUCAAACAUGGAUAGAUCAUUAACAACUGCUAGUAUAAUCUAAACAAAAUGAAAUUAAUUUUUUUACUAUUUCAUUAAACAUUUAUGUAAUUUAAUUCAGGUCAAUAAUGAACAAUGUGAUAAUAUGAAAUAAACAGUGUCAUAUAACA
Daktulosphaira vitifoliae (grape phylloxera) is the source of this 654-nucleotide long non-coding RNA. RefSeq lists it as uncharacterized. NCBI's taxonomy places the organism in Eukaryota, Metazoa, Arthropoda, Insecta, Hemiptera, Phylloxeridae. The transcript is spliced from 2 exons. The record is from RefSeq and is a predicted model, not a curated record.